ACUCCCAGCAGCUGUUGGUUCUCCUGAGCUCUGCCUCGUGCUCCACCCUCCUUAGUAUGCAGCCAGUCAGGGCACAACCAGUGACCAUGUGGAUGUUGGAGAGAGAGCUGGGGGUUAGCUCGUGUGCUGACUCAGUCUGAGAGGUCAGGAGUUUUACAAUACCGAUGGGCCCAGGCUGGCUUGGGAACUUCCUCAUCAGCUGCCACCUAUAUGCACUUAAAAAAUCCCACACAACCUGCCUAGAAGGGAUUUACAUCUAGAAUUAAUAUCUCCACUACUGGCUCGUUUUCCAGGAAAUUUGCCUAGUCAACAAGUGGCUUUCCUGCUUGAGGACAGUAUUCCUGCCAUCACUCGAAAAGUGGUGGGCUUUUGUGCGGCAGCUCGAAGAUUGUGACAGUUUUUAAUUAAUAAUUCCAGUGCUGCUUUAUAACCUUUCAGUUAUAAUAUUGUUGGUGGGUUAGACUGUUGAUAUGUUAUCUUUUUAACUGUUAUUUAUAUUUUUAUUGUAUUUUUGUUCCCCUUGUUGUGCUGGUCAUAGACUGUAAUAAACUUUGAUUGAUUGAU
Long non-coding RNA from Hemicordylus capensis (graceful crag lizard), 564 nucleotides. RefSeq lists it as uncharacterized. The transcript has 3 exons. The record is from RefSeq and is a predicted model, not a curated record. Lineage: Eukaryota; Metazoa; Chordata; Lepidosauria; Squamata; Cordylidae.